This 699-nucleotide ribosomal RNA is filed under the name uncultured Actinomycetales bacterium. Its description in RNAcentral is "bacterial SSU rRNA". It matches the Rfam family "Bacterial small subunit ribosomal RNA", at positions 68 to 780 of the family's 1533-position model. Lineage: Bacteria; Bacillati; Actinomycetota; Actinomycetes; Actinomycetales. The record is from RNAcentral.
GGAAAGGCCCUGCUUGCAGGGUACUCGAGUGGCGAACGGGUGAGUAACACGUGGGUGAUCUGCCCUGCACUUCGGGAUAAGCCUGGGAAACUGGGUCUAAUACCGGAUAGGAGCCAUUUUUAGUGUGAUGGUUGGAAAGUUUUUUCGGUGUAGGAUGAGCUCGCGGCCUAUCAGCUUGUUGGUGGGGUAAUGGCCUACCAAGGCGGCGACGGGUAGCCGGCCUGAGAGGGUGGACGGCCACAUUGGGACUGAGAUACGGCCCAGACUCCUACGGGAGGCAGCAGUGGGGAAUAUUGCACAAUGGGCGCAAGCCUGAUGCAGCGACGCCGCGUGGGGGAUGACGGCCUUCGGGUUGUAAACUCCUUUCGCUAGGGACGAAGCUUUUUGUGACGGUACCUAGAUAAGAAGCACCGGCUAACUACGUGCCAGCAGCCGCGGUAAUACGUAGGGUGCGAGCGUUGUCCGGAAUUACUGGGCGUAAAGGGCUCGUAGGUGGUUUGUCGCGUCGUCUGUGAAAUUCCGGGGCUUAACUCCGGGCGUGCAGGCGAUUCGGGCAUAACUUGAGUACUGUAGGGGUAACUGGAAUUCCUGGUGUAGCGGUGAAAUACGCAGAUAUCAGGAGGAACACCGAUGGCGAAGGCAGGUUACUGGGCAGUUACUGACGCUGAGGAGCGAAAGCAUGGGUAGCGAACAGGAUUA